Molecule: ribosomal RNA, 468 nt
Filed under: uncultured bacterium
Lineage: Bacteria
Description: partial 16S ribosomal RNA
Rfam family: Bacterial small subunit ribosomal RNA
Source: RNAcentral
GACGAACGCUGGCGGCGUGCUUAACACAUGCAAGUCGAACGGAAAGGCCCUGCUCUUGUGGGGUGCUCGAGUGGCGAACGGGUGAGUAACACGUGAGUAACCUGCCCUUGACUUUGGGAUAACUUCAGGAAACUGGGGCUAAUACCGGAUAGGAGCUCCUGCUGCAUGGGGGGGGUUGGAAAGUUUCGGCGGUUGUGGAUGGACUCGCGGCUUAUCAGCUGGCUGGGUGGGUAGUGGCUUACCAAGGCUUUGACGGGUAGCCGGCCUGGGAGGGUGGCCGGCCACCAUGGGACUGCGGUACGGCGCAGACUCCUACGGGACGCAGUAGUGGGGAGUAUUGCACAAUGGGCGCAAGUCUGAUACGACAACGCCGCGUUCGGGAUGACGGGCUUCGGGUUGUGAACCGCUUUCGCCGGAGACGAAGCGGUAGUGACGGUAAUGGGUAAAGAAGCCCCGGCUAACUACGUG